This 657-nucleotide ribosomal RNA is filed under the name Amphibacillus sp. 30P5. Its description in RNAcentral is "bacterial SSU rRNA". It matches the Rfam family "Bacterial small subunit ribosomal RNA", at positions 388 to 1036 of the family's 1533-position model. The record is from RNAcentral. Lineage: Bacteria; Bacillati; Bacillota; Bacilli; Caryophanales; Bacillaceae.
GGAGCNCGCCGCGUGAACGAAGAAGGUUUUCGGAUCGUAAAGUUCUGUUGUUAGGGAAGAACAAGUACCGUUCGAAUAGGGCGGUACCUUGACGGUACCUAACGAGGAAGCCCCGGCUAACUACGUGCCAGCAGCCGCGGUAAUACGUAGGGGGCAAGCGUUGUCCGGAAUUAUUGGGCGUAAAGCGCGCGCAGGCGGUUUUUUAAGUCUGAUGUGAAAUCUUGUGGCUCAACCACAAGCGGUCAUUGGAAACUGGAGAACUUGAGGACAGAAGAGGAGAGUGGAAUUCCACGUGUAGCGGUGAAAUGCGUAGAUAUGUGGAGGAACACCAGUGGCGAAGGCGACUCUCUGGUCUGUAACUGACGCUGAGGCGCGAAAGCGUGGGGAGCGAACAGGAUUAGAUACCCUGGUAGUCCACGCCGUAAACGAUGAGUGCUAGGUGUUAGGGGGUUUCCGCCCCUUAGUGCUGCAGUUAACGCAUUAAGCACUCCGCCUGGGGAGUACGGCCGCAAGGCUGAAACUCAAAAGAAUUGACGGGGACCCGCACAAGCGGUGGAGCAUGUGGUUUAAUUCGAAGCAACGCGAAGAACCUUACCAGGUCUUGACAUCCUCUGAACACACGAGAGAUCGUGUUUUCCCUUCGGGGACAGAGUGACA